Molecule: transfer RNA, 82 nt
Filed under: Echinostoma caproni
Lineage: Eukaryota; Metazoa; Platyhelminthes; Trematoda; Plagiorchiida; Echinostomatidae
Rfam family: tRNA
About the family: Transfer RNA (tRNA) molecules are approximately 80 nucleotides in length. Their secondary structure includes four short double-helical elements and three loops (D, anti-codon, and T loops). Further hydrogen bonds mediate the characteristic L-shaped molecular structure. tRNAs have two regions of fundamental functional importance: the anti-codon, which is responsible for specific mRNA codon recognition, and the 3' end, to which the tRNAs corresponding amino acid is attached (by aminoacyl-tRNA synthetases). tRNAs cope with the degeneracy of the genetic code in two manners: having more than one tRNA (with a specific anti-codon) for a particular amino acid; and 'wobble' base-pairing, i.e. permitting non-standard base-pairing at the 3rd anti-codon position.
Source: Rfam by way of RNAcentral
GGCCUCGCAGCUCAGCUGGUAGAGUAUGCGCGUGCAAAGUGUAGGCGGCGUUCAUGCGUUGGUUCGAAUCCCACCGAGGCUA